UAUUGGACAAUGGGCGAAAGCCUGAUCCAGCCAUGCCGCGUGUGUGAAGAAGGUCUUCGGAUUGUAAAGCACUUUAAGUUGGGAGGAAGGGCAUUAACCUAAUACGUUAGUGUUUUGACGUUACCGACAGAAUAAGCACCGGCUAACUCUGUGCCAGCAGCCGCGGUAAUACAGAGGGUGCAAGCGUUAAUCGGAAUUACUGGGCGAAAGCGCGCGUAGGUGGUUUGUAAGUUGGAUGUAAAUCCCCGGGCUCAACCUGGAACUGCAUUCAAAACUACUACAGAGAUGGAAGGGUGGUGAAUUUCCUGUGAGCGGUAAAUGGAAAUGAAGGACACCAGUGGAAGGGCACCUGGCAAUCUGACUGGUGAAACG
Molecule: ribosomal RNA, 372 nt
Filed under: uncultured bacterium
Lineage: Bacteria
Description: bacterial SSU rRNA
Rfam family: Bacterial small subunit ribosomal RNA
Source: RNAcentral